UCUGGUGAUGAUGGCAUAGAGGAAACACUCCUUCCCAUACCGAACAGGAAAGUUAAGCUCUAUAGCGCCAAUGGUACUGCAUGGGAGACUGUGUGGGGGGUUCGAUUCCCCGGUA
Molecule: ribosomal RNA, 115 nt
Filed under: Clostridium sp.
Lineage: Bacteria; Bacillati; Bacillota; Clostridia; Eubacteriales; Clostridiaceae
Source: RNAcentral